GAUUACCAGCGUGUAACUAGGCCUUCAGCAAGACGGCUAACAGAUUCCCGGGCUCGGCUGGCUCGCGGGCUCGUAUCUCAGUAUCUGAUAAUUGGAGUGGUAAUUACGCGAUGAUUAACAGAGAUGGCUCCCGCGCACCAUGCCUCCUACGGGCUUCGAUCCGCUCUGGAUCCACGAUCCUUUACCAUCUACUUCUGCCACGGGAGAUCCAAGAUCCUAGAUAGCCAUGUUCAGGAUAUGUACACUAUCUUUGUACACUGAUCACAUAAACAAGACUAUACUAUAUUCAUCAACUGAUUCAUUCUCACCCAUGAUUGCCAGUGUCUUACAAAGCUCUGAGUUAUCACGAAGACAACCUAGGACACUGUAUCCUGUUAAGGAUUGAGGAACAAGUCGUUAUUGGUGUAACUGUAAAGCAAUGCAGAUAACAUAUGUAAACACGGCCGAGGGUGAUGAAUCCUGUAGCCGUUUUGUUAGGUGAAUGUAAAGUAAAUGCAAGUAUACGUAAGUGAAGUAACGGACCGAUCGACGCCGGUCAUACCAACUCUCAUAAAUCGGUUGCUAUCUCGCAAUUAACUCUCUAUCAAUUACGACCGGUAGAACCCAUUUGAAUUUCAAUCGGUUACAAAAGGGAAACUCGCAUGUCUAUACUUCAGACUUGACAGAUCUAUGAAAAACUUGGAAAACCAAUGGAGCUUGCACAUACGCUAUAUAGGGAUGGAAGACAGCAUGUGGAACGCAUCUCACUCUCUUUUUCUCUCUUUCUUAUGCAGAGAGAGAGAGAGAAGAGACACGUACAGGUAGGCAGUCUCAAGCAGUCAGGAAGAUGGAGGCACGAGACGUUGAG
Molecule: long non-coding RNA, 847 nt
Organism: Cephus cinctus (wheat stem sawfly)
Lineage: Eukaryota; Metazoa; Arthropoda; Insecta; Hymenoptera; Cephidae
Exons: 5
Source: RefSeq, a predicted model, not a curated record